GGAGAAAUACCCAAGUGGUUGAAGGGUCCGGUCUUGAAAACCGGUAGGGGAUGAAAGUCCCGCGGGGGUUCGAAUCCCUCUUUCUCCGCCA
RNAcentral lists this transfer RNA (91 nucleotides) under Anaeroplasma bactoclasticum. RNAcentral describes it as "tRNA-Ser". It matches the Rfam family "tRNA". From Rfam's summary of the family: Transfer RNA (tRNA) molecules are approximately 80 nucleotides in length. Their secondary structure includes four short double-helical elements and three loops (D, anti-codon, and T loops). Further hydrogen bonds mediate the characteristic L-shaped molecular structure. tRNAs have two regions of fundamental functional importance: the anti-codon, which is responsible for specific mRNA codon recognition, and the 3' end, to which the tRNAs corresponding amino acid is attached (by aminoacyl-tRNA synthetases). tRNAs cope with the degeneracy of the genetic code in two manners: having more than one tRNA (with a specific anti-codon) for a particular amino acid; and 'wobble' base-pairing, i.e. permitting non-standard base-pairing at the 3rd anti-codon position. Lineage: Bacteria; Bacillati; Mycoplasmatota; Mollicutes; Anaeroplasmatales; Anaeroplasmataceae. RNAcentral also lists the same sequence under 4 other names. The record is from RNAcentral.